GCCAUUGUGGUGUAGUGGUUUAUGCACUGGACUAUGACUCUGGAGGCUAAGGUUCAAUUUCUGGCUCUGCCA
Molecule: non-coding RNA, 72 nt
Organism: Phrynosoma platyrhinos (Desert horned lizard)
Lineage: Eukaryota; Metazoa; Chordata; Lepidosauria; Squamata; Phrynosomatidae
Source: the annotation of a GenBank genome assembly